UAAUUGCCUGUCAAAACACUUAAUUGCAUUUGAGAAACCUUGUGUCCAUCUUUCUUGUUGACAGGGGUCCUCAGAUUUCUUUUCUUAGAUCCAGAACUCUCAGCUGAUACAGGCUUCAGUCCGUGUGAGCAAUGGACAAGCUGUCACUGCCCGUUACAUUUUGGAUGAUGCCACGAGACUCUUCUACGUUGGGGGAAAGUUGGCAUUGGAAAAAGGAGCAUCUGCUUUCCCUGAGAACCGAAUUCCCUGAUUGAAGCUUCCUCGGGAAUGUAUCGUGCAAGUUGGGACACCGAAGGUCAAGGCUUUGGAAUCACGCUGCAAAUAUCUCUGAUCCUGCCUCCUAAAAUACAGCCAGACCAAGAAUGAUGUCGCCAUGCAGUGAGUGAAAGCAAGAUCCCCCGCCUUGAGAAAAGAUUGUGCUUCACUAACCAGACGCUUGGUUCAUGGCAGUCUAAGUGGUUUCUGUUGUAGGGGGGAGAAACAAAAACACAA
This 492-nucleotide long non-coding RNA is filed under the name Felis catus (domestic cat). RNAcentral describes it as "lncRNA (ENSFCAG00000041901.2)". Lineage: Eukaryota; Metazoa; Chordata; Mammalia; Carnivora; Felidae. The record is from RNAcentral.